AGAGUUUGAUCAUGGCUCAGGAUGAACGCUAGCUACAGGCUUAACACAUGCAAGUCGAGGGGAAACGACAUCGAAAGCUUGCUUUUGAUGGGCGUCGACCGGCGCACGGGUGAGUAACGCGUAUCCAACCUGCCCAUCACUUGGGGAUAACCUUGCGAAAGUAAGACUAAUACCCAAUGACGUCUCUAGAAGACAUCUGAAAAGAGAUUAAAGAUUUAUCGGUGAUGGAUGGGGAUGCGUCUGAUUAGCUUGUUGGCGGGGUAACGGCCACCAAGGCGACGAUCAGUAGGGGUUCUGAGGAGGAAGGUCCCCCANAUUCGGAACUGAGACACGGUCCAAACUCCUACGGGAGCA
This 354-nucleotide ribosomal RNA is filed under the name uncultured bacterium. Its description in RNAcentral is "bacterial SSU rRNA". It matches the Rfam family "Bacterial small subunit ribosomal RNA", at positions 8 to 349 of the family's 1533-position model. The record is from RNAcentral.